This 492-nucleotide ribosomal RNA is filed under the name uncultured bacterium. RNAcentral's name for it is "partial 16S ribosomal RNA". It matches the Rfam family "Bacterial small subunit ribosomal RNA", at positions 29 to 507 of the family's 1533-position model. The record is from RNAcentral.
AGUGAACGCUGGCGGUAGGCCUAACACAUGCAAGUCGAACGGCAGCACAGUAAGAGCUUGCUCUUACGGGUGGCGAGUGGCGGACGGGUGAGGAAUACAUCGGAAUCUACUUUCUCGUGGGGGAUAACGUAGGGAAACUUACGCUAAUACCGCAUACGACCUACGGGUGAAAGCAGGGGAUCUUCGGACCUUGCGCGAUUGAAUGGGCCGAUGUCGGAUUAGCUAGUUGGCGGGGUAAAGGCCCACCAAGGCGACGAUCCGUAGCUGGUCUGAGAGGAUGAUCAGCCACACUGGAACUGAGACACGGUCCAGACUCCUACGGGAGGCAGCAGUGGGGAAUAUUGGACAAUGGGCGCAAGCCUGAUCCAGCCAUACCGCGUGGGUGAAGAAGGCCUUCGGGUUGUAAAGCCCUUUUGUUGGGAAAGAAAAGCAGCAGGUUAAUACCCCGCUGUUCUGACGGUACCCAAAGAAUAAGCACCGGCUAACUUCGUG